UCCUUUCUUCCUCUUAUUUUAUUCUUCUCCCUUGUCUCUUUCAACGUACAAGCUGUUGCUUUCUCUUCCCUUGAACGUGCAACUUCCAUUUUAGCUCCCCCUUGGACGACAAAGCAGCAACCGAACAGCAAGGUCUCGAGCGUUCCUCCCUCCUCAAGAAAAUCCGAGACUUUGUGUGCUGCUGUGGUGGUCACUCAACGACACCUCUAGCUGUUGUGCCGGGUCCAAAUCAUCGUCAAAAACCUCUAGGGCUGUCCUUGUGUUGUCGUCCGGCCACAAGUGAGGAUCGCCAUUAGUUUCGGUGGUCCCUACAUGGAGGAAGGCCAGGUCGUGUACAGUCGGUCGCAGUAAAGGAGGAAUAGGACUCUCGCUAUCUCCUUCCAAGUGAUGACGGAUUUUCCGUCAAUACUGGAUGUAGGGUGACAGCUCACUCCUGAGAAAUCGAGAAGUAUGGUAUCGUAGUAGUAAACCCCAGUCUUAUAGAUAGAAGCUUAGUUAGUGGGUAAUCGAACAGCUUCACUUUUUGUAUUAGACCUUGGGGUGUUAAACUAGUCUAUAAGUAAUGUGAUGUUGUAAGUGUGGCUUGUGAAAAAUAAUAUCUUACGUUUCUAUCCCA
This is a long non-coding RNA of Eucalyptus grandis, 616 nucleotides long. RefSeq lists it as uncharacterized. Lineage: Eukaryota; Viridiplantae; Streptophyta; Magnoliopsida; Myrtales; Myrtaceae. The record is from RefSeq and is a predicted model, not a curated record. The transcript has 2 exons.